AACCAUCUAGUAGCUGGUUUCCUACGAAGUUUCCCUCAGGAUAGCUGGAGCUCACGCGCGAGUUUUAUCGGGUAAAGCAAAUGAUUAGAGGCAUCGGGGGCGUAACGCCCUCGACCUAUUCUCAAACUUUAAAUAGGUAAGAGGGUGCGGCUGCUCCAUUGAGCCGCGCCGUGGAAUCGAGAGCUCCAAGUGGGCCAUUUUUUGGUAAGCAAACUAGCGAUGCGGGAUGAACCGAAAGUCGAGUUAUGGUGCUGGAUUGCACGCUAACCUAGAUCCCACAAAGGGUGUUGGUUGAUUAAAACAAUAGGAUGGUGGUCAUGGAAGUCGAAAUCUGCUAAGGAGUGUGUAACAACUCACCUGCCAAAUCAACUAGCCCCGAAAAUGGAUGGCACUGAAGCACGCAACCUAUACUCGAUCGUCGAAGAAAUUGCCUGGCUCUGGUGAGUAGGAGGAGGGGGUCGUUGAGAAACCUCGGGCGUGAGCUUGGGUGGAUCGGCCCCCGGUGCAGAUCUUGGUGGUAGUAGCAAAUAUUCAAAUGAGAACUUUGAAUACUGAAGUGGGGAAAGGUUCCAUGUGAACAACACUUGGACAUGGGUUAGUUGAUCCUAAGAGAUGGGGAAGCCUUGUAUCAAGGGUGCACUCUGCACGAGCAUCGAAAGGGAAUCAGGUUAAUAUUCCCAAAUUGGGACAUGGUGGCGGGCGGCAUCGUUAGGAAAUACAGAGACGUCGUUGGGGGCCCCGGGAAGAGUUAUCUUUUCUUUUUAACAGCUUUCCCACCCUGGAAUCCGUUCACCCGGAGAUAGGGUCCAGCAGCUAGAAGAGCACCACACGUCUUGCAGUGUCUGGUGUGCCCUCUGUGGCCCUUGAAAAUCUGGAGGACGGAGUACCGUUCAUGGCUGGUCGUACUCAUAACCGCAUCAGGUCUCCAAGGUGAACAGCCUCUGGUCAAUAGAACAAUGUAGGUAAGGGAAGUCAACAAAACGGAUCCGUAACUUCGGGAAAAGGAUUGGCUCUGAGGGCUGGGCCUAGGGGUCUGCGCCCUCAACUUGUGGGCUGUCGGCAGUCUGCCCGAGCUGCUCUCACUGCGAGGGCGGGCAGUCGCGUGCCGAUUGGGCUACGGGCGUAGAAUGCCCCCUGCCGGGGGCUUUUCCCUAGGCGUCGAACAGUCAACUCAGAACUGGUACGGACAAGGGGAAUCCGACUGUUUAAUUAAAACAAAUUCAACCAAGCGCGGGUAAACGGCGGGAGUAACUAUGACUCUCUUAAGGUAGCCAAAUGCCUCGUCAUCUAAUUAGUGAUGGGCAUGAAUGGAUUAACAAGAUUCCCACUGUCCCUAUCUACUAUCUAGCGAAACCACAGCCAAGGGAACGGGCAUGGCAGAAUCAGCGGGGAAAGAAGACCCUGUUGAGCUUGACUCUAGUCCGACUUUGUGAAAUGACUUGAGAGG
RNAcentral lists this ribosomal RNA (1447 nucleotides) under Pinus taeda (loblolly pine). RNAcentral's name for it is "eukaryotic LSU rRNA". It matches the Rfam family "Eukaryotic large subunit ribosomal RNA", at positions 938 to 2458 of the family's 3401-position model. The record is from RNAcentral. Lineage: Eukaryota; Viridiplantae; Streptophyta; Pinopsida; Pinales; Pinaceae.